RNAcentral lists this ribosomal RNA (497 nucleotides) under uncultured bacterium. RNAcentral's name for it is "partial 16S ribosomal RNA". It matches the Rfam family "Bacterial small subunit ribosomal RNA", at positions 28 to 507 of the family's 1533-position model. The record is from RNAcentral.
GACGAACGCUGGCGGCGUGCCUAAUACAUGCAAGUUGAGCGCUGAAGGCUGGUACUUGUACCAACUGGAUGAGCAGCGAACGGGUGAGUAACGCGUGGGGAAUCUGCCUUUGAGCGGGGGACAACAUUUGGAAACGAAUGCUAAUACCGCAUAAAAACUUUAAACACAAGUUUUAAGUUUGGAAGAUGCAAUUGCAUCACUCAAAGAUGAUCCCGCGUUGUAUUAGCUUGUUGGUGAGGUAAAGGCUCACCAAGGCGAUGCUACAUAGCCGACCUGAGAGGGUGAGCGGCCGGAUUGGGACGGUGACACGGCCCAAACGCCUACGGGAGGCGGCAGUAGGGAAUCGUCGGCAAGGGACGAAAGACUGAGCGAGAUACGCCGAGUGAGGGAAGAAGGGUGUCGGAUCGGAAAAGUCUGUUGGUAGAGAAGAACGUUGGUGAGAGUGGAAAGCACAGCAAGUGACGGUAACUACCCAGAAAGGGACGGCUAACUACGUG